AUUCCAGCUCCAAGAGCGUAUAUUAAAGUUGUUGCAGUUAAAAAGCUCGUAGUUGGAUUUCUGGUACAAUGCGCCUGGCCCGCGGCAGCAAUGCCUGUGAGUGCCGGUGCGCGUUGGCCAUCCUUCUAGAAAACGUUUCUACCAUUAACUUGGCUGGACUCGCGAUCUAGAUCUUUUACUUUGAAAAAAUUAGAGUGUUCAAGGCAGGCUUUUGCUGUGAAUACAUUAGCAUGGAAUAAUAAUCUAGGACUUCGGUUCUAUUUUGUUGGUUUCUAGAAUUGAAGUAAUGAUUGAUAGGGAUAGUUGGGGGUGCUAGUAUUGGCCGGCCAGAGGUGAAAUUCUUGGAUUCGGUCAAGACUAACUUAUGCGAAAGCAUUCACCAAGGAUGUCUUCAUUA
RNAcentral lists this ribosomal RNA (397 nucleotides) under Protaspa sp. Its description in RNAcentral is "partial small subunit ribosomal RNA". It matches the Rfam family "Eukaryotic small subunit ribosomal RNA", at positions 582 to 975 of the family's 1831-position model. The record is from RNAcentral. Lineage: Eukaryota; Cercozoa; Thecofilosea; Cryomonadida; Protaspidae.